RNAcentral lists this unclassified non-coding RNA (310 nucleotides) under plant metagenome. RNAcentral's name for it is "partial contains small subunit ribosomal RNA, internal transcribed spacer 1, and 5.8S ribosomal RNA". The record is from RNAcentral.
UUUCCGUAGGUGAACCUGCGGAAGGAUCAUUACAAAUCCAAAUAACUACCCGUUGAAAUGUUUUCGGCCUUGGGGUGUCAUCGACGUCAUGAUCCAAAUAUACAUGACCUUCGGGUCCGUAUUUGUGAAGUGACAUGAUGAUGCCAGAUGUGCGUUUUUAAAGACGCAUAUUUAAACCAAGGUACCGACCAAUUUAAAUACUUAUUAUGUUGACAUCUUUGUAUAACUCUCUCUUUCUCUCUGCUUUACGGCGGACCGAAAAAAGAGUAAUCAACGAAUACAACUUUUAACAAUGGAUCUCUAGGCUCUU